GAUGGACGCUGACAGAAUGCUUAACACAUGCAAGUCAACUUGAAUUUGGGUUUUUAACUUAGGUUUGGGUGGCGGACGGGUGAGUAACGCGUAAAGAACUUGCCUCACAGCUAGGGACAACAUUUGGAAACGAAUGCUAAUACCUAAUAUUAUGAUAAUAGGGCAUCCUAUAAUUAUGAAAGCUAUAAGCGCUGUGAGAGAGCUUUGCGUCCCAUUAGCUAGUUGGAGAGGUAACGGCUCACAAGGCGAUGAUGGGUAGCCGGCCUGAGAGGGUGAUCGGCCACAAGGGGACUGAGACACGGCCCGUACUCCUACGGGAGGCAGCAGUGGGGAAUAUUGGACAAUGGACCGAGAGUCUGAUCCAGCAAUUCUGUGUGCACGAUGAAGUUUUUCGGAAUGUAAAGUGCUUUCAGUUGGGAAGAAACAAAUGACGGUACCAACAGAAGAAGUGACGGCUAAAUACGUG
This 466-nucleotide ribosomal RNA is filed under the name uncultured bacterium. RNAcentral's name for it is "partial 16S ribosomal RNA". It matches the Rfam family "Bacterial small subunit ribosomal RNA", at positions 28 to 507 of the family's 1533-position model. The record is from RNAcentral.